CAACUGUUUUAAAUCUUUAUGCAUUUUAUCUAAUUUAGUCAGCUAUAGUUUUAAGUUAUAGGUUUAAACAUAAGUUGUUGCUUUUCACCAUUUAAUGGGUUAAACUAAUUUAUCUUUUAUCCCACGUUAAUUCUGGAUAAAUUGAGUCCAUUUAUUGUUUAACAUCAUUAAUCAUUACUCUGCCUUUUGCUUUUUGACUUCCCCACAAUGUAACUUCUCCUUUGUUAUUGCAGAACACAAAAGUAUUAUCACAUAUUAUCGAGUGCAUUCAGGGUAGAGUAGGUUAUUUUCAUGACAAUAAUAGGGAAAUAAUGUAAAUCAAAUCCAAAAUGUAAUGAAAUAUUAAAUGUUUGAACCUUCAACAUGAGUAUAACGUCCCUCUCUGCAAUGACACCCAUUGUAUUCAAAAUGUUCAUCCCUCUUACAGUAAUAAGACAGUUAUUACAGUAAUAGUGAGUGGUGGGCUGUGAAUCUCAUUGAGAUAUAUCUCCUGUAUGGUUUUAUUCUCCUCUGUAAACCUCCAGGUGUGGAGACCUUCUGCAACGCCACACAGCCACACAUCACGACCCAGUGCUUUGGCUCUCUGGGAGGAACCGUAGAGGUCCAGAUGCUUACUCAGUACUCACAAGAUGAUACCUUCAGACUGAAGAAGAACAAUGUCACGAUUUUAUCAGAACGCAAUCAGACAAACAUUCGAUAUUCAUUUAAUGUCAGUACUGGAAUAUUUACUAUAAAGGACAUCGACAGGAAAGACAAUGGUGAAUACUCAAUGGAAGUAUAUGACCGAGAAGCUGGAAGGCUAGUGGCAUCUACAAAAUGUUAUUUAACCAUUCAAGCCCCGGCCUCCUCUCCCCUCAUGUCCCGGGAGUGUCUGUCCUGGGGACAGCAGAGGGUGUCCUGCUCUGCCGGGGGGGACGGACUCCACUACAGCUGGAGUCUAGACGGACUCCCGCUGAACGACCCGCGUCUCCUCUCCGGACCCAGUAGCGCUAGUGACGUCACUCUGGAGCCGGGCCGGUCGGGACUGGUCACCUGCUCGGUCCACAACAUCAUGAGCAACGCCACGGCCAACAUCACCUUGUCUGUGUGUGACGGUGUGAAGACCGUCUGCGACGCCACACAGCCACGCGUCACGACCCAGUGCUUUGGCUCUCUGGGAGAAACCGUGGAGGUCCUGAUGCCUACUCAGUCCUCACAAAAUGAUACCUUCAGACUGAAGAAAGACAGAGUCACGAUUUUAUCAGGACGCAGUCAGACAAACAUUCGAUAUUCAUUUAAUGUCAGUACUGGAAUAUUUACUAUAAAGGACAUCGACAGGACAGACAAUGGUACAUACUCAAUGGAAGUACAUAAUGUAACUGGAAUGGGAGUAGCAUUUACAAAAUGUUAUUUAAACAUUCAAGCCCCGGUCUCCUCUCCCCUCCUGUCCCGGGAGUGUCUGUCCUGGGGACAGCAGAGGGUGUCCUGCUCUGCCGGGGGGGACGGACUCCACUACAGCUGGAGUCUAGACGGACUCCCGCUGAACGACCAGCGUCUCCCCUCCGGACCCAGUAGCGCUAGUGACGUCACUCUGGAGCCGGGACGGUCGGGACUGCUCACCUGCUCGGUCCGCAACAUCGUGAGCAACGCCACGGCCAACAUCACCUUGUCUGUGUGUGACGGUGUGGAGACCGUCUGCGACGCCACACAGCCACACAUCACGACCCAGUGCUUUGGCUCUCUGGGAGGAACCGUAGAGGUCCAGAUGCUUACUCAGUCCUCACAAAAUGAUGCCUUCAGACUGAGGAAGAACAAUGUCGCGAUUUUAUCAGGACGCAAUCAGACAAACAUUCGAUAUUCAUUUAAUGUCAGUACUGGAAUGUUUACUAUAAAGGACAUCGACAGGACAGACAAUGGUGCAUACUCAAUGGAAGUACAUAAUGCAUCUGGAAACCAAGUAGCAUUAAACUAUUGUUAUUUAACCAUUCAAGCCCCGGUCUCCUCUCCCCUCCUGUCCCGGGAGUGUCUGUCCCGGGGACAGCAGAGGGUGUCCUGCUCUGCCGGGGGGGACGGACUCCACUACAGCUGGAGUCUAGACGGACUCCCGCUGAACGACCCGCGUCUCCUCUCCGGACACAGUAGCGCUAGUGACGUCACUCUGGAGCCGGGCCGGUCGGGAUUGCUCACCUGCUCGGUCCGCAACAUCGUGAGCAACGCCACGGCCAACAUCACCUUGUCUGUGUGUGGCGGGCUCGUCCCGUUCAUCGUUCGUCCUCUGACGGUGGUGCUGCUGCUCCUAGCAGCAUUGGGAGUCUACUGGGCCCUAAAGAAGAAGAAAACCUCCAGCCCCCGAGACAUCGCGCUGUCCUCCAUGGCGGUAGAUGAUGGUGUGACGUACGGUAACGUCUCCGGGGCGACCGGGAGGGCAGGGGGACAGUGAGGCGGAGUACGGGGCGGUCAGGGUGGCUCCAGGCCCCAGGCGGACGCGGGAGACCAAUGUGGGCGAGCUAGUGCGCGCUCAGCCCAGGAGGACGAGGCCCUGAGAGCUGUCACCACCCAGAAGGACGCGUAGACAGCGCUUUAGCCAGAGAGCCAUCAGCCCACUGACAUUAGACCUGCCAGGGACACUUCUCUCCCUGCAUCUCAAAGGCCACUUCGUUUGAAAAUGUGAAUGUUUAUUCGGCCGAGGUUAUGUUCAUAUUUAUGUUCAUAAAGCCGUUCACAUGUAGUUUAAACCGUGUAGUAGUCAAAUCUCAACUCUUAUUUUUAUUAUUAAUAGUAUCUAUUUUUUCCUCUGUUGUUGUCCACGGUGGCUUCCUGGGUCAAGGAUAGAAACUGAUCCAAUCAAAUAAUUGUGAUAGCUCGAUCUCUGAAAGCAAUAUUCUGCAUGUGAAACUCUUAACAUAUAACUACUAUUUUCUUUAUACUAUACUGAAUGUGUAACUUUAUUUCAUUAUUUUUUACACUAUUAUGUAUGUGUAACUGGCUUGGAUGCAUGUCUGUAUGAUAUAUACUAUUUUUUUAAAGAGUAGGCCUACUUCAUCUUUUGUGUUCUAUAAACAUUAAGGUUCCAGACAUGUAAAUUGAAGCACUUACACACGGUACACGCACGCACGCAUACACACACACACACACACACACACACACACACACACACACACACACACACACACACACACACACACACACACACACACACACACACACACAAUUUGAUGGCACUUUUAUUCAUUUUACCCUUGUUUUACUGUUUCAAAAUCCAGUUGACAUCUUACCAUACCGAGGAGAUAAUUUACAACAAAAAUAUAGAUUCUAGGUUUGAGUCUUCAAAUUUCUAGAUAGUGCUCUAGUGUAAAUGUUCAACCCGGUAUCACGCCAAAGCGUGAAAUAGAUAUAUCUUGGUCGACCUCGCAAGGCGUGUUCAGUGCCACGCUUUGCCUGACCAAAGCGUGAGGAGAAGACGCUUUCUUCCGCUCAUCUAAAUGAAUGGAGGACAAACGGUCCGAAGGGCCGUUUGUCCGACAUUUCAAAAAGGAGCCGCAUUAGGCCGACGGUUCAAUUUGCCGAAUAGGCCUACUGUCGUCUAGUUUUUCUGGGAUCGGAGUGUAGGAGAGCGGGACCACUACUGGGCCCGCCUAAGUUAAACAAAGACCACUCAAUCCGUGGUUUACUGGUUGCAAAGCUGAUUAGUUUAAUUCUGGUUGUACAACACAAAAUAUGUUCUCUCUAAACAGGUUCGAAUAAAAUGCGGCGGGUUACAACGCAGCGCUGAGUUCCUUGGCGGACGACCUCUCCUCGAGUAGGAUGGUCGUGUAAAUCGCGCCGAGCCGAAGCUGGCGUGUGCUUCUUAUAGGCCUGGCUCCUCCCCGGGGCCAGUCCAGUAGUUCUCUACCGCUAUCCAUCGGUUUGACACCUUCGCCUCUCGUGAUGGCAGUUGGCGCUCCGCCAAACGCCUUCCUCUUUGUCACUCUGUCUGGACAAAACAGGAUGCACUCUUCUUGACCCCCUAUCUCUCUACAUGCCCACGUUAUUGAUCCUCGAUGCUGGUUGGUUUAAGCACAUUAGCAACUGGGUACAUUAUGUUACUUCAGGCCAUCUUCGCUAGGCCCAGGUAUAUCUUCAUACAACACUACAUAUAAAGAGUUUUAUACCUCGCUCGCGCUCUCUCUCUUUUGUCACUUUGCUCUCCAAUAUUCUUAGUGAACAUGAUAUGUAUGCUUAGGUUGUUUUUUGGUGCUUUGUGUGUGUGUGUGUGUGUGAGAGAGAGAGAGAGAGAGAGAGAGAGAGAGAGAGAGAGAGAGAGAGAGAGAGAGAGAGAGAGAGAGAGAGAGAGAGAGAGAGAGAGAGAGAGAGAGAGAGAGAGAGAGAGAGAGAGAGAGAGAGAGAGAGAGAGAGAGCUCUUUAUAUUUAGGCAUAUUGAACUAAUGCGCCUCUUGUUUGACUUAUCGGACAAACGGCCCUUCCGAACAAUGGGUUCCGUUUUCGUAACAUUGAACCGUCGGCAUGUCGAUCUAAUGGGAAAUAUUUCGGACCAUUGAGACGUCGAAACAAUGAGGGGUCGGAAUUACGGCAUGGCACCAACUCAGGAGAAGGAAUGACCUCUCACAAAUAUUUAUUUAAUAAAUUGUUUCAAAUAACCCUGCCUCGUUAAAUCAAUGAGCUUGGUGUUUUGCUUUAAAAAAUAGGUUAUAGAAGAAGUCUAAACAGCAGAAAAUCAAAACAUCCAAGCUGCCUUUUAAGGAUACCUUGGAAUAUCCGUCUAUUUUUUAACCAUCGGACCCUAGUUUACGACAAAAACAACACAAUUGACGGCAGCUCCUUUGCCGCGUGGUUUUUAGAGCCAUGUAAGUAUUAGAGGGUGCGGUCGAUAGCAACCACCAUAGCAACCAUGACGGUCAAGAGACUGGAUUUAUUUUUAUUUUAUUGCUUUAGUUCAGGGACAUUGCACACUAAUCAACAUUCAAAAUGUAAGUGAGCCAGAGUUAGCCUGAGAGGGUAGUUUUCAUCUGUUGUCCCCUGCCAGAUAUUCAAAAGGCAACCUAAAAUUACAGAAAUAAAAUGCAUAUAAACAAAGAUUAAAAAACAACAUAGUCGUAAGAAUGAAUUGACAGACAAUAGCAAACAAACAAUAAAAUAAGCAGACAAUAAAACAAUAGAACAGUGUACAUUAAACAUUUUAGGAAAGUGCACAAAACAGUAGAUUAGAGCUGGACAAAUGCACCUACAAUAAAAACACAUUCAGCAGCAAAUGUGUUGCUGUGAGUUAAUCUAAUGUGAGCCAUCCACCAGUAGAGCUUUUGAUGGCUGAAGACCCUGCCCUUUAGGAGUGAAACUAAGGCCUUAAAAAAAAAAAUGUUUGGUUCCGGUUUCCGACCGACCCUGUCCAUUUAUGUGCAAACCAAAUUAUUUUAUGAGCUUUAUAAAAAAAAAAAAAAAAGAAUUAAUGCAUACUAUAAUUACGUUUUUGUACAGCACCUCUUCAUUCUGUACAAGGAUGAGCGAAUUUUCUCGUUUUUCAAUGAAAACAACCUACCUAUCAUUCGCUGCCGCUGGAAAAAAUAAAAUAAAUUCCCUACCUACCCAUGACCUCAACUGACAACCAACAGGUAACAAACUUUUUUUUUUUAGGCCUAAUUCAUUGAGGUUUUCCAGGUCAAAGAUCUGUGUGGUGGAAAACGUGCAGAGCUUACUGCACACCUUCACCAACUUCUUCAGGACAACCUGAACCUCAUACUGCACACAGCCUGCUACUAAGUUGACAGAAGGCUUUUAAUACAAUUCAUGUUGGCCAACAAGCACUAGGGCUUUGACUUUUGCCCAAAAAUCAUAAUCGAAGUUUGUUUGUUUAAUAUUCGAAUAUUUAUAAUAUUUUGACCAUUAAAUGCCUUCAGUAUGACCUAUAUGGUAUAAAACUUCAGUUGUAUACGUUUAGUCCAGAGGGCAGUGUUAAAGGUCAACGUCAAAUUCAUACUCUGCAGUCACGUGACUACCAUGGCUACCUGGAGGGCAACAAACGCCGACUAAAGGGCGACGAACAGCGGCCAGCGAGGGGAAUUGCAGAUUUCCAAUACGACAAUCGAUCAACUAUUACAAUUUUAGACCAUAAAUGUUCAAAUAAGAUAUCAAAAUAAGAUAAAAAUACUCGGAUUUUUUAAUCUAUACGCAGCAGCCGCUGAUGUGGUCAUUUCUUUGAAUUUGGCAACGUCUCGUCCCGACUUGGGAGUUUGGAGAUAUUUACAUUUAUGUUAUAGAGAAUCCGUCACCUUAUACCUGCACAAAAAAGGAAAGCCUACAAAAGUACGGAUAGCUAACUUUUAGUUAACUUUUUUCAAAAGUGGGUGGGUUAACAACAUUGUCGUAUGGGAGGUGAAAAACAGGAAAAUCUUCAUAAUCAAAGCUAAGGUGAGUGAGUAGGCUACUCUCUAGCUACCCGCAAAACGAUCAACAAAUAGUUUUUUUUCUGAAUCAAAUAACUUAAGUAGCUCGUUUAUUGACCAAUUAAUGUGGUAGCGUCCACACAAGUGCUAUACCUCCAUUCAUUUAGAUGAGCGGAAGAAAGCGUCUACUCCUCACGCUUUGGUCAGGCAAAGCGUGACACUGAACACACGUCUUGCGAGGUCGACCAACGUAUCUAUUUCACGCUUUGGCGUGAUACCGGGUUGAAAUUUUAAUAGAUUGCAAUACAAAAUGUAACCAUGAUACAUUUACAAUGCAAUACUGCCCCAUAGAGGCUAACCUCCGCCAAUGCAUUUUUGGUCCAAAUUGUAGUUAUUCUAGAAUAAUUUUCCUAGUAAAAGGAAAAAUCAUGAAACAUAAGAAAUGAUAACUAUUGAUUUUAAAUAGGGGACAAUAUAAAACAUAAAUUGAAUGAAAUAUUUUGAUGUUGAAACAAUGUUACAACAUAGGACUAAAACAUAGCUUCUCCAGGAAAUGUUCCAAAAAUGUUAAAGAAAAGAGACAAUCUUGUGGAUAAUGUACCUUCUUGACCUAAAAGAG
Gadus morhua (Atlantic cod) is the source of this 6975-nucleotide long non-coding RNA. Lineage: Eukaryota; Metazoa; Chordata; Actinopteri; Gadiformes; Gadidae. The record is from Ensembl.